Long non-coding RNA from Hippoglossus stenolepis (Pacific halibut), 791 nucleotides. RefSeq lists it as uncharacterized. Lineage: Eukaryota; Metazoa; Chordata; Actinopteri; Pleuronectiformes; Pleuronectidae. The record is from RefSeq and is a predicted model, not a curated record. The transcript has 6 exons.
CCUCAGCAGUGCCAUUACUAAGGUUUUGCCAGACCUCCCAGGCUCAAGUCUAGAAAUUCUGGAGGAGACACUGCAAUCGUUGGGGGUGGAGACCACUGAGGAUUUUUCCUUUAUCCAGCAAGCUGAUCUUCUUUCAGUACUAAAAACCAAUUCAAGCCAGAAAUUUGGUGGCUGCCUGGAAACAGACAAGACAGAGCACUGAAUUCUGCAACGAGCCAGUGUUGACCUCUCCAGCUUCCUCAUCACGCUCCUCACUCUCUCCUUCCCCCUCACCCAGUCACUCAAUUACAGUUGCUGAUUGGGUUGACAGCAACUGCAUGAUUGUUCAGUUCUUUGGAUCUUCUUUGAGACAUUGUAUUAAAACUCCUGAGCAGUGGGAGGGAACAACAUGCUGGCUUUUGGGACACCAAGGAAAUGGUCUUAUUACUUCUACCAGUGGUUCUACUUCAUGUGGACCUAAGCAACCUCUGAGCUGCCCCAUCAGUCUACCCUCUGAUCAGUUACCAGUCUUGUCAAGGAUAAACAGUGCGAUGAUGAAAAGACCUACUAAAAAGUUUCCUGAACAUCGUACCAUGUCUGUAUGUGACUGUUCAACCUGCUGUCAAGUCUGGACCCAAUGACUAGGACACCAGUCUUGUAGAGCAGAAAGGAUAGUGCCAGUCUACAGUGAACCCGGAUCCCUGAUGGGACAACAUGUCAAUCAUCAAGCAGAACUGGUGACAACACAUACUUCAAGUUCCAAUGUCUUGGACAUCGUGUGACACUCUAUCCCAUGUUGAGCCCCCUCUUCA